This 440-nucleotide ribosomal RNA is filed under the name uncultured bacterium. Its description in RNAcentral is "partial 16S ribosomal RNA". It matches the Rfam family "Bacterial small subunit ribosomal RNA", at positions 338 to 795 of the family's 1533-position model. The record is from RNAcentral.
CCUACGGGUGGCAGCAGUAGGGAAUAUUGCUCAAUGGUCGAGAGCCUGAACCAGCCAAGCCGCGUGAAGGAUGAAGGUUCUCGGAUUGUUAACCCUCUUUGUUAGAGAAACUAAUGACGGUAUGUAACGCAUAAGCACCGGCUAACUCCGUGCUAGCAGCCGCGGUAAUACGGAGGGUGCAAGCGUUACUCGGAAUCACUGGGCGUAAGGGGGGCGUAGGCGGGAUAGCAAGUCAGAUGUGAAAUCCUAGGGCUUAACCAUAGAACUGCAGUUGAAACUGGUAUUCUAGAGUAUGGGAGAGGUAGGUGGAAUGCGUGGUGUAGGGGUAAAAUCCGUAGAUAUCAAGAAGAAUACUCAUUGCGAAGGCGACCUGCUAGAACAUAACUGACGCUGAUGCGCGAAAGCGUGGGGAGCAAACAGGAUUAGAUACCCCAGUAGUC